GCGAGGCGCAGCGGGUCCAACCGAAGUCGGGGCUCGGCCCCAGCCGCGAGGAGAGGGUGCUGAGGAGAGAAGGCGCACCCCAUAACCAGCCGAGGCUCUCCGGCCCAUCCUGGCCCCCUGCACGGGGCAAGGAGCAAGCAGGACUUUCAUCCACUGGAAAAUUUUCCUUAUGGAUAGUGU
Molecule: long non-coding RNA, 180 nt
Organism: Lontra canadensis (Northern American river otter)
Lineage: Eukaryota; Metazoa; Chordata; Mammalia; Carnivora; Mustelidae
Exons: 3
Source: RefSeq, a predicted model, not a curated record